Ornithorhynchus anatinus (platypus) is the source of this 72-nucleotide non-coding RNA. Lineage: Eukaryota; Metazoa; Chordata; Mammalia; Monotremata; Ornithorhynchidae. The record is from Rfam.
AGCAGUGUGGCUCAGUGGAAAGAGCCCGGGCUUGGGAGUCAGAGGACAUGGGUUUGAAUCCCGGCUCUGCCA